Molecule: unclassified non-coding RNA, 1182 nt
Filed under: Zea mays
Lineage: Eukaryota; Viridiplantae; Streptophyta; Magnoliopsida; Poales; Poaceae
Description: misc RNA Zm00001eb044610
Source: RNAcentral
AUCCGGACGUAGAUGUUUAUAUUACAGAGAGACAGUUAUUGGACUGGUGCAACAUGGAACAGGAGGGGAAACAUGUACCAACAGGUUUGCAGUUUUGCGCAGCCAGAAAAGAUUAACACAUCUAGAAAUGCAGCUGCUUGCAAUGCGACGCCAUAGCCUCCGAGGGGCAGUAGGGGCACUUGAAGGCCCUCGAGCUGCUUUUCGACAGCUUCAUGAUGGACUGCUUGGAGACAACAUGUCCACAAGGCAUCCGCAUUGGGGGAUUCUCGUCACUGGACUGCUCCCUGAGCACCGGGCACACAAAGACAGAAUGAUACUGGAAUUCUGGCCCGAUGUCUAUGGGGACAGGAAGCUGCUUCAUAACUUGCCACUCCUGCUUCUUCGCAGCCAUGACUUGCGUCAGCUUCAGCAGAGUUGGUAGUCCUUGAAAACCAGCUGACACUGCAACACUCAGCGGGCUCUCCCUCGACUGGCCCAGAAGGCUACAGAAUUGAUGGGUGAGCUCCUCAGCUAGCUUCUCCCAAUGCGCGGAUGACAUUAACUCAGAAUAUGGGGAUUGAUCGAGCCGGCCAACCCAUAGAAGGCAAGCCAUUAGCUUCUGGAAUUCUUCCUUGUGCACGGCUGCAAAGGGGACCAAGUGAGUCCUAGCAUAUAAAAGAGCCUCAUCUUUGGCCUCACCCCUACUGCCUUUGGACAAUAUUUCAACAAACUGAAGCUGAUAAAGCUUGAACUCCAGCAUAGACCCAUUCUGCAACAGCUGAUCAUGGUUUUUGGCAGCCCAACUGAGAGCAGGCUCGAGGUUUCUCGCUUUCAUGGCUUCAAGGAUAGCAUACAUCUCCUGAAACGGUAGCUUCAAGGAAGCUCCGCCUAGUUCCCCACACUCAUGGACAAACAUGUCACCAAGAUCAAAGAGGCCUUGGCGGUAGAAAUGAUUCGCUAUGAUAUUGUUUACUGUAUGGACCUCAAAAUCCACAUUUCUGUAUGCCUUAGAUAUAUCUGGAUUGAAAGACUUCUCAAGGAGUUUGAGAUAUUUGCUCAGAGCAACAUUGAGCUCCUUUUGGCUGCCUUCAAGCUGGUUUAGUGGUGCCAUUUCAUUGAGCUUAGCUUUCAGUUCUGCAAGGAUGGAUGGGUGGUCAACAUUUCCAGUAGAAUCUGUAUUCAUCAUCUGCAGCUUCACAAUAG